This 468-nucleotide ribosomal RNA is filed under the name uncultured bacterium. RNAcentral describes it as "bacterial SSU rRNA". It matches the Rfam family "Bacterial small subunit ribosomal RNA", at positions 355 to 825 of the family's 1533-position model. The record is from RNAcentral.
UGGGGAAUAUUGGACAAUGGGGGCAACCCUGAUCCAGCCAUGCCGCGUGAAGGAUGAAGGUGCUAUGCAUUGUAAACUUCUUUUGAACGGGAGAAAACCUUUGGUCGUGUACCGAAGCUGAUAGUACCGUUAGAAUAAGGGUCGGCUAACUUCGUGCCAGCAGCCGCGGUAAUACGAAGGACCCGAGCGUUAUCCGGAUUUAUUGGGUUUAAAGGGUGCGUAGGCGGAACAGUAAGUCAGUGGUGAAAUCCUGUUGCUUAACAACAGAACUGCCAUCGAUACUGCUGAUCUUGAGUACAUAUGAUGUGGGCGGAAUGUGCCAUGUAGCGGUGAAAUGCUUAGAUAUGGCACAGAACACCGAUUGCGAAGGCAGCUCACAAAACUGUUACUGACGCUGAGGCACGAAAGCGUGGGGAUCAAAAAGGAUUAGAUACCCACGUAGUCCCUGAGCGGGCUGGCAAGGCGCAU